GUUUGAUCCUGGUCAGGAUGAACGCUGACAGAAUGCUUAACACAUGCAAGUCUACUUGAUCCUUCGGGUGAUGGUGGCGGACGGGUGAGUAACGCGUAAAGAACUUGCCCUGCAGUCUGGGACAACAUUUGGAAACGAAUGCUAAUACCGGAUAUUAUGUGAGUUUCGCAUGAAAUUCAUAUGAAAGCUAUAUGCGCUGCAGGAGAGCUUUGCGUCCUAUUAGCUAGUUGGUGAGGUAACGGCUCACCAAGGCGAUGAUAGGUAGCCGGCCUGAGAGGGUGAACGGCCACAAGGGGACUGAGACACGGCCCUUACUCCUACGGGAGGCAGCAGUGGGGAAUAUUGGACAAUGGACCAAAAGUCUGAUCCAGCAAUUCUGUGUGCACGAUGAAGUUUUUCGGAAUGUAAAGUGCUUUCAGUUGGGACGAAGUAAGUGACGGUACCAACAGAAGAAGCGACGGCUAAAUACGUGCCAGCAGCCGCGGUAAUACGUAUGUCGCAAGCGUUAUCCGGAUUUAUUGGGCGUAAAGCGCGUCUAGGCGGUUUGGUAAGUCUGAUGUGAAAAUGCGGGGCUCAACUCCGUAUUGCGUUGGAAACUGCCAAACUAGAGUACUGGAGAGGUGGGCGGAACUACAAGUGUAGAGGUGAAAUUCGUAGAUAUUUGUAGGAAUGCCGAUGGGGAAGCCAGCCCACUGGACAGAUACUGACGCUAAAGCGCGAAAGCGUGGGUAGCAAACAGG
This 740-nucleotide ribosomal RNA is filed under the name uncultured bacterium. Its description in RNAcentral is "bacterial SSU rRNA". It matches the Rfam family "Bacterial small subunit ribosomal RNA", at positions 11 to 776 of the family's 1533-position model. The record is from RNAcentral.